Molecule: ribosomal RNA, 1477 nt
Filed under: uncultured Bordetella sp.
Lineage: Bacteria; Pseudomonadati; Pseudomonadota; Betaproteobacteria; Burkholderiales; Alcaligenaceae
Description: partial 16S-23S ribosomal RNA intergenic spacer
Rfam family: Bacterial small subunit ribosomal RNA
Source: RNAcentral
GGGGCAUCCAGGUAUGUGGGGUUCGUUCUGGCUCAGAUUGAACGCUGGCGGGAUGCUUUACAUGCAAGUCGAACGGCAGCACGGACUUCGGUCUGGUGGCGAGUGCGAACGGGUGAGUAAUGUAUCGGAACGUGCCCCAAAUGACGGGGACUAUUGCGGCGUCGCUAAUACCACAUACGCCCUUCCAGAGAGAAAGUGGGGGACCUUCGGGCCUCGCCCACUAACAGAGCGGCCGAUAUCGGAUUAGCUGGUUGAUGAUUAACGGCUCACCAAGGCGACGAUCCGUAGCUGGUUUGAGAAGGGACGACCAGCCACACUGGGACUGAGACACGGCCAGACUCCUACAGGAGGCAGCAGUGGGAAUUUUGGACAAUGAAACCCUGAUCAGCCAUCGCAUGUGCGAUGACCUUCGGGUUGUAAAAAGCACUUUUGGCGGAAAAGAAACGGCACGGGAUAUGCCCCGUGCAGCUGACGUACCUGCAGAAUAAGCACCAAGCUAACUUCCACGUAACUAUCCGCGGUAAUACGUAGGGUGCAGGCGUUAAUCGGAAUUACUGGGCGUAAAGCGUGCGCAGGCGGUUCGGAAAGAAAGAUGUGAUCCCAGAGCUUAACUUUGGAACUGCAUUUUUAACUACCAGUAAGAGUGUGUCAGAGGAGGUGGAAUUCCGCGUGUAGCAGUGAAAUGCGUAGAUAUGCGGAGGAACACCGAUGGCGAAGGCAACCUCCUGGGAUAACACUGACGCUCAUGCAUAGCAGUAGAGGCAAACAGGAUUAGAUACCCUGGUAGUCCACGCCUAAACGAUGUCAACUAGCUGUUGGGACCUUCCGGGCCUUGGUAGCGCAACUAACGCGUGGUUGACCGCCUGGGAGUACGGUCGCAGAUUAAAACUCAAGGAAUUGACGGGGACCCGCACAAGCGGUGGAUGAUGUGGAUUAAUUCGAUGUAGCAUAACCUUACCUACCCUUGACAUGUCUGGAAUCCCGAAGAGAUUUGGGAGUGCUCGCAAGAGAACCGGAACACAGGUGCUGCAUGGCUGUCGUCGCUCGUGUCGUGAGAUGUUGGGUUAAGUCCCGCAACGAAGCGCAACCCUUGUCAUUAGUUGCUACGAGGGGCACUCUAAUGAAGCUGCCGGUGACAAACCGGAGGAAGGUGAGGAUGACGUCAAGUCCUCAUGGCCCGGCCAUAUGGGUAGGGGCUUCACACGUCAUACAAUGGUCCGGGACAGAGGGUCGCCAACCCCGCGAGGAGCCAAUCCCAGAAACCCGAUCGUAGUCCGGAUCGCAGUCUGCAACUCGACUACGUGAAGUCGGAAUCGCUAGUAAUCGCGGAUCGGCAUGUCGCGGUGAAUACGUUCCGGAUGUGUACCACCGCCCGUCACACCGUAGGAGUGGGUUUUACCAGAAGUAGUUAGCCUAACCGUAAGGAGGGCGAUUACCACGGUAGGAUUCAUGACUGGGGUGAAGUCGUAACAAGGUA